Molecule: ribosomal RNA, 497 nt
Filed under: uncultured bacterium
Lineage: Bacteria
Description: partial 16S ribosomal RNA
Rfam family: Bacterial small subunit ribosomal RNA
Source: RNAcentral
GAUGAACGCUGGCGGCGUGCCUAAUACAUGCAAGUAGAACGCUGAAGGAAGGAGCUUGCUCUUUCCGGAUGAGUUGCGAACGGGUGAGUAACGCGUAGGUAACCUGCCUGGUAGCGGGGGAUAACUAUUGGAAACGAUAGCUAAUACCGCAUAACAGUAGAUGUUGCAUGAUAUCUACUUAAAAGGUGCAAUUGCACCACUACCAGAUGGACCUGCGUUGUAUUAGCUAGUUGGUGAGGUAACGGCUCACCAAGGCGACGAUACAUAGCCGACCUGAGAGGGUGAUCGGCCACACUGGGACUGAGACACGGCCCAGACUCCUACGGGAGGCAGCAGUAGGGAAUCUUCGGCAAUGGACGGAAGUCUGACCGAGCAACGCCGCGUGAGUGAAGAAGGUUUUCGGAUCGUAAAGCUCUGUUGUAAGAGAAGAACGAGUGUGAGAGUUGAAAGUUCACACUGUGACGGUAUCUUACCAGAAAGGGACGGCUAACUACGUG